UAAGGAAUAUUGGACAAUGGUGGCAACACUGAUCCAGCCAUGCCGCGUGCAGGAUGACGGCCCUAUGGGUUGUAAACUGCUUUUGUACGGGAAAAAACCCUCGUUCGUGAACGAGGCUGAUGGUACCGUAAGAAUAAGGAUCGGCUAACUCCGUGCCAGCAGCCGCGGUAAUACGGAGGAUCCAAGCGUUAUCCGGAUUUAUUGGGUUUAAAGGGUGCGUAGGCGGAUUAAUAAGUCAGUGGUGAAAGCC
Molecule: ribosomal RNA, 250 nt
Filed under: uncultured bacterium
Lineage: Bacteria
Description: partial 16S ribosomal RNA
Rfam family: Bacterial small subunit ribosomal RNA
Source: RNAcentral